RNAcentral lists this ribosomal RNA (556 nucleotides) under uncultured Fusarium. RNAcentral describes it as "eukaryotic LSU rRNA". The stretch from base 170 to 323 matches the Rfam family "5.8S ribosomal RNA". Lineage: Eukaryota; Fungi; Ascomycota; Sordariomycetes; Hypocreales; Nectriaceae. The record is from RNAcentral.
ACCAGCGGAGGGAUCAUUACCGAGUUAUACAACUCAUCAACCCUGUGAACAUACCUAAAACGUUGCUUCGGCGGGAACAGACGGCCCUGUAACAACGGGCCGCCCCCGCCAGAGGACCCCUAACUCCGUUUUUAUAAUGUUUUUCUGAGUAAACAAGCAAAUAAAUUAAAACUUUCAACAACGGAUCUCUUGGCUCUGGCAUCGAUGAAGAACGCAGCGAAAUGCGAUAAGUAAUGUGAAUUGCAGAAUUCAGUGAAUCAUCGAAUCUUUGAACGCACAUUGCGCCCGCCAGUAUUCUGGCGGGCAUGCCUGUUCGAGCGUCAUUACAACCCUCAGGCCCCCGGGCCUGGCGUUGGGGAUCGGCGGAAGCCCCCUGUGGGCACACGCCGUCCCUCAAAUACAGUGGCGGUCCCGCCGCAGCUUCCAUUGCGUAGUAGCUAACACCUCGCAACUGGAGAGCGGCGCGGCCAUGCCGUAAAACACCCAACUUCUGAAUGUUGACCUCGAAUCAGGUAGGAAUACCCGCUGAACUUAAGCAUAUCAAUAAGCGGAGGAA